This 21-nucleotide non-coding RNA is filed under the name Caenorhabditis elegans. The record is from RNAcentral. Lineage: Eukaryota; Metazoa; Nematoda; Chromadorea; Rhabditida; Rhabditidae.
UAUCCGCGUCUGUCACAUGCG